Molecule: microRNA precursor, 71 nt
Filed under: Diaphorina citri (Asian citrus psyllid)
Lineage: Eukaryota; Metazoa; Arthropoda; Insecta; Hemiptera; Psyllidae
Description: mir-2 microRNA precursor family
Rfam family: mir-2 microRNA precursor family
About the family: The miRNAs are transcribed as ~70nt precursors (modelled here) and subsequently processed by the Dicer enzyme to give a ~22nt product.
Source: Rfam by way of RNAcentral
GCCCCCAUCAAAGUGGUUGUGACGUGUGGACUUUUACCUUUUCAUAUCACAGCCAGCUUUGAUGAGCGUAG